Molecule: ribosomal RNA, 293 nt
Filed under: uncultured bacterium
Lineage: Bacteria
Description: partial 16S ribosomal RNA
Rfam family: Archaeal small subunit ribosomal RNA
Source: RNAcentral
GUGCCAGCCGCCGCGGUAAUACCGGCAGCUCAAGUGAUGUCCCAUAUUAUUGGGCCUAAAGCGUCCGUAGCUGGCUGCGUAAGUCCGUCGGGAAAUCCACUCGCCCAACGAGUGGGCGUCCGACGGAAACUGCACAGCUUGGGACCGGAAGGCUCGAAGGGUACGUCCGGGGUAGGAGUGAAAUCCCGUAAUCCCGGACGGACUACCGAUGGCGAAAGCACUCUGAGAAGACGGCUUCGACAGUGAGGGACGAAAGCUCGGGUCUCAAACCGGAUUAGAUACCCCAGUAGUCC